This 502-nucleotide ribosomal RNA is filed under the name uncultured Glomeromycotina. RNAcentral describes it as "partial small subunit ribosomal RNA". It matches the Rfam family "Eukaryotic small subunit ribosomal RNA", at positions 591 to 1092 of the family's 1831-position model. Lineage: Eukaryota; Fungi; Glomeromycota. The record is from RNAcentral.
CCAAUAGCGUAUAUUAAAGUUGUUGCAGUUAAAAAGCUCGUAGUUGAACUUCGGGGUUUACCCAUUGGUCAGGCUUAAUUGUCUGUACUGGUGAGAUAAAUCUCUACCUUCUGAGGAACUUUCAUGUCAUUAAUUUGGUGUGAUUGGAAAUCAGGACUGUUACUUUGAAAAAAUUAGAGUGUUUAAAGCAGGCUAACGUCUGAAUACAUUAGCAUGGAAUAAUGAAAUAGGACGGACUGAUUCUAUUUCGUUGGUUUCUAGGAUCACCGUAAUGAUUAAUAGGGAUAGUUGGGGGCAUUAGUAUUCAAUUGUCAGAGGUGAAAUUCUUGGAUUUAUUGAAGACUAACUACUGCGAAAGCAUUUGCCAAGGAUGUUUUCAUUAAUCAAGAACGAAAGUUAGGGGAUCGAAGACGAUCAGAUACCGUCGUAGUCUUAACCAUAAACUAUGCCGACUAGGGAUCGGACGAGGUUAAUUUUAUAAUGACGCGUUCGGCACCUUACG